AAGCAGUUGAAGGAGGAUUUAGCAGUAAGAGGGGAAUAGAGCGCCCCCCUGAAAACGGCCCUGAAGCGCGCACACACCGCCCGUCACUCUCCCCAACAUAAAUAUAUACAAUAAAUAAUAAAUCAUAAAACGCAAGGGGAGGCAAGUCGUAACAUGGUAAGUGUACCGGAAGGUGCACUUGGAAAAACC
RNAcentral lists this ribosomal RNA (189 nucleotides) under Acentrogobius caninus (tropical sand goby). RNAcentral's name for it is "partial 12S ribosomal RNA". It matches the Rfam family "Bacterial small subunit ribosomal RNA", at positions 1314 to 1528 of the family's 1533-position model. The record is from RNAcentral. Lineage: Eukaryota; Metazoa; Chordata; Actinopteri; Gobiiformes; Gobiidae.